AUGGAGGACCUACCAGAGGCUCUGGUGACAGAGAUUCUCAACAGGAUCACCAGGACAAGUGAUCUCAAUUCUCUUUCCCUUGUGUCAAAGCAGCUCUACAAGAUAGAGGGGAAUCAGAGGGGUGCUAUCCGUGUUGGUUCCGGCCUUUGCACCGCUACAAAAGCACUGACAUCAUUGUGCGCCCGCUUCCCAAAUCUGCGGAAAGUGGAAAUCGAUUACUCUGGUUGGACACCUGGACAUGGAAAGCAGCUGGACAACAAAGGCCUUUCUGUGUUUUCUUUAUCUUGCUGUUCCUCGCUGGUUGACCUCACCUCAUGCAUCGAUGACUCUGGGCUUGGUUGCUUAGCGAAUUGCAAGAAAUUGGUGUCUCUCAGGCUGAACUCCACACCACAAAUAACUUCGAUUGGGCUUUUCUCGGUUGCAGUUGGUUGCACAAGUCUAUCUGCUCUCCACCUUAUUGGCUGCGAGAAAAUCGACAGUGUGGAGUGGCUGGAAUACCUUGGUAGGGAUGGAUCAUUGGAAGAGCUUGUAGUGAAGAAUUGCAAAGGAAUCAAUCAUCAUGACUUCAUAAAGUUUGGUUCAGGAUGGAUGAAGCUCCAGAAGUUUGAGUUUGAGGGCAACAGAGGAGGAUAUGAUAGUCUUACAGAUGAUGUGGUCUAUGACUCCUCGUACGAUGCUCACAGCAUGGAUUUGUAUGAUUUCUACUGUGAGAGUUUGAAGGAUUUAAGGUUGGCACGUAUUAAAACUUGGCCGGAAGUAGGACUUCGUGUUGUCCUAGGGAAAUGUAAAGCAUUGGAGAAGCUUUGCCUUGAGUAUGUUUCUGCCCUAAAUGACAAUGACAUGAUUGCAUUAUCUCGGAGCUGCAGCAACCUUAAAAGCAUCUCACUUUGGCUCAACCUGCAGCACUACUCUAGUGAUGUCAGCUAUUGUGAAACCAGGACGUCAUUUACUGAUAACAGCCUUUACACUCUAGCCCUAAACUGCCGUAUGCUUCAGAUGGUAGACCUCAGCUUUACAGGAUGUUCCCCUGACUGGCCAUCAGAAAUAGGAUUCACACAGCAGGGUUUUCUGGCACUCAUUCAGUCCUGCCCGAUUCGUGUUCUUGUGCUAAAUACCGUCAACUUCUUUGAUGACGAGGGGAUGAAGGGCCUCUCAUCCUACCACAUCUGGAGACACUUCAGCUUAUAUUGUGUCAUGCGGUAA
This 1203-nucleotide ribosomal RNA is filed under the name Triticum aestivum (bread wheat). RNAcentral describes it as "partial small subunit ribosomal RNA". Lineage: Eukaryota; Viridiplantae; Streptophyta; Magnoliopsida; Poales; Poaceae. The record is from RNAcentral.